RNAcentral lists this long non-coding RNA (669 nucleotides) under Triticum aestivum (bread wheat). RNAcentral describes it as "long non-coding RNA (TAES_LNC008156)". The record is from RNAcentral. Lineage: Eukaryota; Viridiplantae; Streptophyta; Magnoliopsida; Poales; Poaceae.
UAUACAUCCUUUCUCUGGUUGAUUCUUGCUAUCGAUUCCUCUACGACGAGCCAAGAUCUGAGUCUCAUGUGUGUCCACAGGGGGAAAACAGAGGCGAGCGAGACUCCAGGCCUGUCACUCUCCUUCAUUAUCAGCUAAUUUGAAUGGUUGUUGCCAGUAAGUGAAAUGGGAAUUGUACAUCAAGAUUCACGGAGCAGAAACGAAUUACCAGAGGGAGAUGGGUAGUCUGCAAAUGGUACAAAGGAUCUCUUUUGAGCUGAUCUGCUCCAAACGACUGGUUUCAAACUGAACAAGGAAAUAAGCAAAUGGACAAGUCAUUAGAAACAACCUUGCGCAAAAUAAUUUGAAACAUCAUUAUGCAGUUUACUGUCAUUAGAAACAACCUUGCAUAAUAGUAUAAUUUAGUUCCAAAGUAUGUCCAGAGAUACAGGGGUACAGAUCUAGUGCAUUUUAGUUUCAGAGUAUGGUCCAGAAUCAUACUAAAUCUACAAAACCAGUAUCCUUAUCUGAAAGCACCCACACAGUUCAUUUGAUAGAUGCAUUCAGCGGUAAAAGAAAAAAAGGAUGUUAGCAAAUUAGAGCUGCACACACACCUCCAAGGCUCCAAUAGUGUUUUGGCCUGUGUAGGAAACACGAACCCCCAAACACCUCGAGCUCCUUGCCCAGUGG